Molecule: ribosomal RNA, 332 nt
Filed under: uncultured bacterium
Lineage: Bacteria
Description: bacterial SSU rRNA
Rfam family: Bacterial small subunit ribosomal RNA
Source: RNAcentral
AACGAACGCUGGCGGCGCGCCUAAUACAUGCAAGUCGAGCGAGAAGACGUAGCAAUACGUUUGUAAAGCGGCGAACGGGUGAGGAAUACAUGGGUAACCUACCCUCGAGUGGGGAAUAACUAGCCGAAAGGUUAGCUAAUACCGCGUACGCUCCUUGGACUUCGGUUCAUGGAGGAAAGCGAUACCGUGGGUAUCGCGCUCUUGGAUGGGCUCAUGUCCUAUCAGCUGUUGGUGAGGUAACGGCUCACCAAGGCUUCAACGGGUAGCUGGUCUGAGAGGACGAUCAGCCACACUGGCACUGCGACACGGGCCAGACUCCUACGGGAGGCAGC